RNAcentral lists this long non-coding RNA (236 nucleotides) under Ananas comosus (pineapple). RNAcentral's name for it is "long non-coding RNA (ACOM_LNC001328)". Lineage: Eukaryota; Viridiplantae; Streptophyta; Magnoliopsida; Poales; Bromeliaceae. The record is from RNAcentral.
AGAGAGUUGUGCUGGUAUGCUUAUGGAAGCACGACGGCCUCCGUGCUUCCAAGUUGUUUUCGAUGUUCGGACUUUCGAAUUAACGAUCGGCUCCGUUAGAAUUGAUCUAGAGUAUUUGAAGUACCUAGAAAAUAAAUUUUGUAAUUUUUCGAUAUCAUUUGCCUAGUGAUCGAAGGGGCUCAAAAUUAAUAAUUUUAAUGACCGUGGUGAGCCGGUUGCAAGUUUAACGGUGUAGA